UUUAAUUACCUCAGUCCUUAGUGUAAGGGAAGGUCAUCAAAAGUGCAUUAAAGUUAAGGCACUCUCUGGGAGUGAUUCUUUCAUUUACCUUUGUAACCAAGGGACCUGUAGAAAACUUUGUGUAGAGCAGAACUUGUAGUAAUGGGAAAAUAAAUUCUGAGGAGUAAGAGGAGUGAGGUGUGGAGACAACACGGUCAGGACACUCAGUUGGAACAGUCACUUACAGAGUAGAUCAUCAGAAGCUUCUGUUGCUUUGUGCUGCCACCUGACAACUGUGACCAUGGCAACAGCACUAGAGCAGUCAGUGGAUGGCUAUGAAGUUCUGAGAAGAUUUGUUGAGCUAUUUAGCAACCGGGACUUUUUUCUCAGAACUCUGAUGUUGUCUACAAGAGUCACUGUUACAUGGGAUUAAGUUCAGAUUUCAUCACUUAUCAGUUGUGUCAAUCUGGAUGACUGAUGUAGGCUCUCUUAUCCUGGUUCUUGCUUAUAAAAUCAGAAUAACUACCACAUAAGAUGAAAGUGAGAUAAUGAAUGCUGAAAACCCAUCACGUGCUAGACAUGUAACAAAUGUGUUUUUUCUUCACUCUGCCCAACAGAUUACGUGGAAUAGGUGUGUGUAACAAAGCUCCUCCUUCAUGCUAUCUGAUCCGACUGAUUCAUCAAGUACUCAAUAUCCUCUUCAGUUUUACCCCCUUCUCACAGUGUGAGUCAGCCUGUCUAACUCUGGAUUACUGUCUAAUUUGAUUUGGUCAGUUCUGAAGAUAUUAGGUAAUAUUAGAUCCAUUUCUGACCCCAUGGAAUUGCACUUAAUAUCUCUCCUCUGUUUUCUACCAUGCCAAA
This 840-nucleotide long non-coding RNA is filed under the name Chinchilla lanigera (long-tailed chinchilla). RNAcentral's name for it is "lncRNA (ENSCLAG00000022762.1)". The record is from RNAcentral. Lineage: Eukaryota; Metazoa; Chordata; Mammalia; Rodentia; Chinchillidae.